AAGCAAACAUCUGUCCCUCUCUGCAGCUACUUUUUCUGCUACAUCAAAGCCUCUCCCAAUGGACAGCCCACUGUUCAGGCUCCACUACUGGGUGUCCCCUCUGGAUUUUCUCUCAAACCCUGCAACCAAGACCUAGAGCCUUGCCUGUCCAAGGUGUACCAGAACGUGGAUUUCUUCGGUGCCGACUACCGAGCCUUGUUCACAGCAGACUAUGAGGAGUGUCAGAGGGCCUGCACACAGGACCCUGCCUGUCAGUUCUUUUCUUUUACAAAUGAGGCCUUCA
This is a long non-coding RNA of Sander lucioperca (pikeperch), 283 nucleotides long. RefSeq lists it as uncharacterized. The record is from RefSeq and is a predicted model, not a curated record. The transcript is spliced from 2 exons. NCBI's taxonomy places the organism in Eukaryota, Metazoa, Chordata, Actinopteri, Perciformes, Percidae.